This 98-nucleotide ribosomal RNA is filed under the name Avicennia officinalis. RNAcentral describes it as "partial 5.8S ribosomal RNA". It matches the Rfam family "5.8S ribosomal RNA", at positions 63 to 154 of the family's 154-position model. From Rfam's summary of the family: 5.8S ribosomal RNA (5.8S rRNA) is a component of the large subunit of the eukaryotic ribosome. It is transcribed by RNA polymerase I as part of the 45S precursor that also contains 18S and 28S rRNA. Functionally, it is thought that 5.8S rRNA may be involved in ribosome translocation. Lineage: Eukaryota; Viridiplantae; Streptophyta; Magnoliopsida; Lamiales; Acanthaceae. The record is from RNAcentral.
UGGUGUGAAUUGCAGAAUCCCGUGAACCAUCGAGUCUUUGAACGCAAGUUGCGCCCGAAGCCAUCAGGCCAGGGCACGUCUGCCUGGGCGUCACGCAU